Molecule: long non-coding RNA, 4579 nt
Filed under: Podarcis lilfordi (Lilford's wall lizard)
Lineage: Eukaryota; Metazoa; Chordata; Lepidosauria; Squamata; Lacertidae
Source: RNAcentral
CAGAGAGAGAGAGAUAAAGGAACCUACUGAAAAGCUUCGAGCACAUGUUUUUUGUUAUUUUGAACCGCAGCAGAAACUGGCUGAGUAAUAUGAUCAGAAAAGGCAAACCCAGAAGAAAGGAAAGUGCCAAGGAGCACACAAUGGAACAACUCAUCUGUCUUCAUGUAUGCAAAUUUAACUAUAGCCUUCCAGGAAACAAGUUACCAGCAUUUCCUAUACAGUAGUACCUCGGGUUAAGAACUUAAUUCGUUCCGGAGGUCCGUUCUUAACCUGAAACUGUUCUUAAUCUGAGGUACCACUUUAGCUAAUGGGCCCUGCCGCUGCCGCCCGAUUUCUGUUCUCAUCCUGAAGUAAAGUUCUUAACCUGAGGUAAUAUUUCUGGGUUAGUGGAGUCUGUAACCUGAAGCGUAUGUAACCUUAAGUGUCUGUAACCCGAGGUACCACUGUAUAUGUAUCCACCUCCUGCUUCUCCCUCGUGCAAAUAUGAAUUUAUUUAUUUACAGCUUUUUAUUUAUUUCUUUUUCUUCUUAGACUGUCUUUCUGGGCAUAUUCCUCUCAAUAAACCAGUUCCUAGGGCUUUAUUUAGCCUAGGAAUGAGCUAGAUUUCCUAUGGCCCUGGUCAUUUUAGGUUAUUUUAUAAGGUUGUGAAUAUUUGCUAUGGCAUGAAACCUUCUAUGCAUUUAAAACUAGAGUUGUGCACAGGCCUGUCCUCUAAUACACUCUGUGGCCCCUGGAUUGGGAAAAUUCACCCUGUGCCACCUCAAGGGCCACCUGCCCUGAAUCUUUCUCCAAAGCAAUUUUUGGGAUAGGGUUAAGGGUCUUCUUCUUCUAUUAUUUAAUUGUUGCAACAAAUAACAGUAUCAUACAGACUAAUAUCACCCUAACCUCAAAUAUGGUGUUUAGGCAAUGCAUGCAAAAUCACAUCCCAGCAGCAUAAUAAGUUCUUUUCCCAGACUUUUCCCAUUUGUAUAAAAGGUGAUAAACAAUUUAUGUUAACCAAAAGGUUUUAUACUGUGAGGGAAGUCCUGUUUUCAUUUUUAGCCGUGUCCAUAAUAAAGAUGUACCCAAUCUGUUACAAAAGAGGUUUUGUGCUUCAAACCUUGUUUUAGCAAUUUAUCAGAGUUAGGGGUUUUAAAGGAAUUUUUAAACCCUGUUUGUUCAACAAACAGUUAAAAUAGGGUUUAAAAAUAUGGUCAAGAUGGGGUGGACCUGAAGGGAAAUUGAUCUUUUUGGUGCUGCUUGAGGAUGCAGGAAAGAGAAGAGACUUUGUGGGAAAGGCAUCUACUGUACUCCAUCCCCUAUCUUCUCUAGUAACAACAACAACAUUUAUACCCUGUCCAUCUGGCUGAGUUUCCCCAGCCACUCUGGGCAGCUUACGGCAUAUAAAAAAUUGUAAAAACAUCAGACAUUAAAAGUAUCCCGAUUCAGGGCUGCCUGCAAAGAUGCAGCCCCCUGGUGGGUCCCUGAUCCUCCUCACUCACACCUACUUCUCUUUCCUGCCUGGUGCCCUAUCAGCCCCACAUGUUUCUGAGUCACUCAACCCAACCUGUAGUGAUCCAGGGUUGUUUGAACCUAUUUGACCAAGGCCCAGAUACCUCCAAAUGGGCCCAAUUUGUUUGCACAGCCCUGUUCACUACAAAUGAAAUUGGCCACAAAGUUAAUCAUGUCGAAGUCCCACUGAUUGCACUAGAAGAGUUGAUUAUGUCCUUAAAUCUCUUCCUUUGAAAUCAAUGAGACUUCAAAGUGAUUAACUUUGGGUGCAUCCGUGCUGUUGUUUCUUAUUUGUUAGGUGAAAGUACAGCUUUUCUUCCAGUCUUUUCUACUGCCUCUUUCUGUUUAGCUCAUUAGCAACUGUCCCCCUUCCCUUCCUGGGCUAAACAAUGUUAAAACUAAUUAAUUAUCAGAUUUUUUAACAGAUUGACUAAAACGAUGUUAAACUGAGUACAGGAGUUGCCCAUGGCAGAUGGUGUGAGUUUCUUGGAGUUUGCAAUUGUGGUGCAGCAAUAAAACUGCUAGCACAUUUGCAAAGCUAAGCAGGGUCCUGUAUGGUUUUGAAUUGGAUGGGGGACCACAUGCUGGGAUUCCUGCAUAGGGGUUGGAUUAGAUGGCCUUUCCAACUGUACAAUUCUAUGAAUUGUAGAUAGAAUUGUCUGCAUCUGCAAACAUUCUCCUGCCUGUGUGGAAUACAGGGAAAAUGGAGUGUAAUGCCCUAAAAGGGUUUUGGAGGUGCCUUUCUCCUUCCUGAUCUUUCUCAUUCUCAUGCUGUGAUGAGCAAAGCCAAGCUUUGGCUUAGCAUAUCACCCGAACUCGUUGUUUAGUCGUUUAGUCGUGUCCAACUCUUCAUUACCCCAUGGACCAGAGCACGCCAGGCACUCCUGUCUUGCACUGCCUCCCACAGUUUGGUCAAACUCAUGUUGGUAGCUUCAAGAACACUGUCCAACCAUCUCGUCCUCUGUCGUCCCCUUCUCCUUGGGCCCUCAAUCUUUCCCAACAUCAGGGUCUUUUCCAGGGAGUCUUCUCUUCUCAUGAGGUGGCCAAAGUAUUGGAGCCUCAACUUCACGAUCUGUCCUUCCAGUGAGCACUCAGGGCUGAUUUCCUUCAGAAUGGAGAGGUUUGAUCUUCUUGCAGUCCAUGGGACUCUCAAGAGUCUCCCGAAGAGUCACCCAAACUCAGGAUUGUGGUUAAGCUUUCUCCCCUUUAACCAAAAGCUGCACCCAAGCUUUGUCCUUGGCCGCAACUCACGGUUAAUGAAGAGAGAGUUUGACUAUGGCCCGAGGUUUGGAUGACAAACCUGGACAUUGCUUGGCAGGGGAGUGAAAAGGACCAGGGAGGCACAAAGUAGAUGUGAACUCCUCUGUAGAAGCCCACAUGUUCACACAGUUCCAGGUUAGCUUAACAUAUUGUGCAAACACAGCCCUUCUAUAGCAGUUACAGUAGCUGUAAGUUGUGGUUUUUGUCUCUCUCUUAGCAUUUAAAAAAAUGACAAAUUUUGUCUGGCUCAGAAAAUAUGGCAGCUUCCAGCAAGGACAUGUUGGACAAUGAUAAUAAUGAAUUGUUAUUAAAUUCAUAACCCGCUCAUCACCAGAAGGUCCAAAGUUAACAGCAACAUAAAACACAACAUGAAAAACAGUGUAAGAUAAAUUUCAAUUAGAACCAGAAUGGGUCCUAAAAAUGCAUAUCUCAGGUGUCAAAGACCAGGAUAUAGAGGUGCGGCUUAAGACUACGGAGGGCAGCCAUUUUUGCUCAAACGGUAUUUGUCACAAUCAGUGCUGUUUCCAUUCUGCUGCUGUUCAGUUUCUGCCAAAUACUACGUUAUUCAUCUUCCUGGAUGCUAUUUAACAUAAGUUACAUAACUAUUUAUGUAAUUGAUGUUAUAUUCAACGUAAAGGCAACAUCAAAACAAAGUUUAAAAAAACACAGCCGCUAUAAUUUAUGUAUCACUUGCAGACUUAAAAACAACAGUGUGAAUGAAUACAUAUCAUACUCGCUUGGCUGUUUUCUGUUCCUGUUCACAAACAAACUCAUGAGCUGCAGCAGUUUCUGCUUUCUUUUUUGUCAGAUUUCUCUGACAUCCCUACAUUUGACUCAUGCGGCAAAACCCCGUAGCAUAGGUAAUGCCCAUUUCAAUUUUUUUUUAGCUCUCAUAAGCAAAACCCUGGUCACCUAUGAGCAGAAUUGAACCAUCAAACACAGGAGUAGCCUCAUAUCAAAUUGUUGUAUUUUCAAUUCGUUUCAGUUUCUGCAAUAAUUCAAUGCUUCAUUUUUGUUUUCCUAAGUGGAGUGUUCCAACAUUUGAAAUGUCAAUUAACAUAAAAACAACAGAGGAGACGCCUUCACCCCCGUCGCCAAUGCAGAGUAGUAGAUAAUGGGUCCUUGAAAAACAUAGGAAACAAUCCAUUGGAAAUAUGCCCUUUGUAGACUGCUUUGAACUGAGUGGGACAUGGAUGAGAUGUUUUGUUUAUCUGUCAAUGGAAAUAUAAGACAAAGGCCAGGGAUGUUUCACAGUAACAAACUGCCCAUGUUCCAAAAUCAUGCCAUAUAUUCUACUUCGAAAUGGUAAUAAAUUAUUCACAAUGUGCUUGCACCUCCAUCUCUCCAGUGCUUUAGAGGCAAUUAAAAUAUGAUCAUCACAAUAAAGAAAUAAAUAAUCUUAAUUAAAACAGUGCGCGGGAACGCAGAAUGAAGAUGUAGCCAUGUAGCCAAUGGGGAGCUGCGCACUAACGUGUGAUUUUACAUAGCUGUCAGCUUUAUCUAAUGUAUGUCUGAAAAUAAAAUCUGCAGAGACCAAAUGUGGAUUUUAUUUUAUUUUUGCUUUCUCUGCAGGACUCUGGGGCUGUGCACAAAUGAACAGAUGAAAACAUCCACGUGUAGUGGCUGCUGUUUUAAAAUAAAAAUACACUGCAAGAUAUACUUAAUAAUUAAGGCAACAAUUUUUUCUGUAAUUAGUGUCUUACACAAUUGGAAUGAACCCAUCGUGAUUUCUCUGCUAAUGCAAAUCUGUCUUUGAUCCUCUGUCCAGAUCUUAGAUUAUUUAUCAAAUGAUAGAAUCAUAUAGUAAUUGGUGUUGCAAAACGUGGGG